UCUAAGAUCUCUAAGAUGCAUGCAUAUGUAGGAUUUAAUUUUGUAAUGAAGUUUAAAGUUUAGUCUAUUUAUUUAUUAUUUCUUUUUUGUCUUAUCUUUGAUCUACCAAGAUUUUUAUUUUUAUCAACCAUCUCUACUUUUUAAACUUAUGCAAUUGCUUCAUUAUUCUUUAAUUCUCAUCAGAGAAAUGAAAUGUUAUUUGGAUACUCCAAAUUACUACUGUUUCUUCCAAAUUAUCAGACAAGGCUAAUAGAUAGAACUGUCCUUUUAAAUGUCUAUGGGUCUUGACCUUUACUAAUAUCUGAUCUCUUCUUCAACCUCGUCUUUUUUUUUUUUUUUUUUGUUAUCUUUUUCUUUCCUUAAGAUACGGAACAUUUUAUUGAUAAAUGAAACGUGAAAGGCACCGGUCUGGACAAACCAACAGAAGAACAAAAAUUCCCACUAUUGGUAGAAAUCAUAACUAUUAAAGUUCUAUUUAAGUAAGACCAAGGCGAAGCUAUAAAAUAAUGUUCUCCCACAUCAUCCACUGUCUCUGCUCACAUUUGGAUAGAUCCUGCUGUUUUCUUCCAACCAAAGCACCUGAAGAAUGCAUCAAAUGGCAUACACGUUUGGAUGCAGUGGCUUUGGAUGUAGUAAAGAAGAAAUCUCGAGUAGAAUUUGUGAAGACUAUAUUAUAAUAUCUUUGUAAUUUUUGUUUGGAUUGUCUGGAGGGAUGAAUUAUGAAAACUUAGAUUUAUACUGUAUAUGAUUUACAGAAACUAAUACGUAGGAUAAAAGAUAGAUUCAUAAGUAUGAGCUUAUGUAACCUGUUUGACAUGCAAGCUUGUAUCUUGGGAUAUACCAGCCUGAAAUAAGCCAAUCCUUCCCUGCCAUUUGAAAUCUGAAGGAAUCCAAGUCUCUGUUCUUACAAUUCAAUGAUUUUCUUUUGACUUUACUUUGUCUGGAGGUGGUGCAGUGGGUUUAGCCUAAUGGAAUGUCUAUUUCCCUCCCCUUUUUCUCCAAACUCUAAAAUAUUUGAUGAGCUGCUCUAAUAUAAACCAAUUCUACCUCUUGUUGACAUUGGUGCAGGGA
This 1071-nucleotide long non-coding RNA is filed under the name Cucumis sativus (cucumber). RNAcentral's name for it is "long non-coding RNA (CSAT_LNC002461)". The record is from RNAcentral. Lineage: Eukaryota; Viridiplantae; Streptophyta; Magnoliopsida; Cucurbitales; Cucurbitaceae.